UCCAACAUUUUCUUCUAGCAUCACAGGUAGAUAGGGCGGUCAAGAAGACUUUUGGUACAUUGCCCUUCAUCAGUCAGUGUAUUGAGUAUAGAAGUUGGGAUGUUAUGAUGCAGUUGUACAACAUGUCAGUGAGGCCAUGCUUGGAGUUCUGUGUUCAGUUUGGUCACCCUGAUACAGGAAGGAUACCAUUAGCUGAAAGUAUAGAGAAGAUUUACAAGGAUGUUGCAGGACAUGAGGGCCU
Amblyraja radiata (thorny skate) is the source of this 241-nucleotide long non-coding RNA. RefSeq lists it as uncharacterized. The record is from RefSeq and is a predicted model, not a curated record. The transcript has 3 exons. NCBI's taxonomy places the organism in Eukaryota, Metazoa, Chordata, Chondrichthyes, Rajiformes, Rajidae.